Molecule: ribosomal RNA, 253 nt
Filed under: uncultured bacterium
Lineage: Bacteria
Description: partial 16S ribosomal RNA
Rfam family: Bacterial small subunit ribosomal RNA
Source: RNAcentral
UACGAAGGGGGCUAGCGUUGUUCGGAAUUACUGGGCGUAAAGCGCACGUAGGCGGGUUGUUAAGUCAGGGGUGAAAUCCUGGAGCUCAACUCCAGAACUGCCUUUGAUACUGGGGAUCUCGAGUCCGGAAGAGGUGAGUGGAACUCCGAGUGUAGAGGUGAAAUUCGUAGAUAUUCGGAAGAACACCAGUGGCGAAGGCGGCUCACUGGCCCGAUACUGACGCUGAGGCACGAAAGCGUGGGGAGCAAACAGG